UUUAGAAGGAAAUACUCAUGCAAUGGAUUUCCAUGAGGGUCGUCCUCUGUGAACUGGGAGUGCUUUAAUGUGGAAGAUGUUGAGCCAGACCCAGAAAACCCUAGGCCAAUGAGGAACAUGGAAGUCAGGAAAAGAAGAGGCAAAUGUGAAGGCCAAAACCUAAACAACAUCUAUCCAUCUCACUCCCAUUUGCCUCCAAGUAUGAAAGCCCUUAAAUCGGGCUUUUCAAGCAUGGCACCAAUUUGCACUCCAAAUGUUCCCUGCACAUUAGAGUACUCCAUUCUGAACACUAGGCCAUGGUGCGAACUGCUUGUGCAAUUAAGGGAAUUCGUGGAUGCAGCUGGAAGCAACUUUUUUGUCAUCUGUCUUCACCUCUUUUGCAGGUAAAGGUGCAAGACCUCAUCUACCCAUUACCAGCUUGUAUUUUCUCCUCUAUCUGACCUCAUUGCUCUCACAUACUGUAUCCCAGAAUCAAAUCCCAAGAUGAUGGAAGAGUGCUAUUUCAGGAUGUCAAUCACUAGCUCAACUGGGAACGAAAUUUGAGGAAAAUUUAAGGGGCCCUGCAGACAGGACUGCUAAUGCUUUUUUCCCAUGUUUCCAUGGGACAAUGAAACACUAGGAGGUGUCUCUUUUAAGUUUUGUGUGCCUCUCUUCUAUCUAGGGGAGUGGCUUUUUUUCUAGGGGGAAUUGAUUUGGAUUCCAGGAGGUAUCAGCCAGCCUUCCAGUGCACUGCAGAUUCAUAACCCACAGAAAUAUAAAUAACAUGGAUCCCUUCAGCCCAAAAAGAGCCACACAGACAGGCAAGCAAAAGGUUGGGACACAAACAAAAAAGAAGCACUGUAGUGCAUCGGUCACAUUUCUGUAAGCAGACUCCCUUUACAGGAACAAACACACAGACACACACACACACAAACACACAAAGCUACUCACACACAGACAUCCAACAUUCACAACACUCCCACAGAAACACACAACCCAGCAGCUUCUGAGACUGUGUGGUUGUGCAGAAAACCCCACCUGGGAGACAGCAACCAUGAAGAACACAGGUGGGCUGUACCUAGAAAUCACAGUGGGGCAAGUUUCUAAAGGACCCAUGCCUACAAGGUCUAGGCCAGCCUGAGGCAUCCUGCAGAUCCUUUUGGAUACUUAGGGAUGUCACAGUUUAUUUCUGGGACUCUGCUUAAUGUUUCUUCAGGCUGGCUCAUGUCUUCCCUUUCCUAGGAUCGUGGAACAAUUCCUUCGAUCCCACAGAGAAGACAGGUGAGAGUCCACUGCCUACGCACCUACCUGGAGGUUUCCUUCUCCAAACAGCCGCUGAAACUUUUUUCUAGGCAACGGUGGCAUUCAUUGUGAAGCUAACCAGAGUUCAACCUCAGGCCUGGUCCCUUGAGACUACUGCAGGUUCAUUCAGGAGACAGGCUGAGGCACCUGUCUCUCAGAGCUGGCAGCCUGCCUAAGCAGAGGAAAAUGGUAAGGCAGAGCCGGCCUGGCGUCCCAAAAAAAGUCUGCCUGCGAUAACCCCUUGUGGGAUGCUAAAGCUCUCAACCUCGGGGGAUUUUCAUGCUGCCUCUGUCAUCAGGUCAUGCAAGAAGAGGUGUUUCGAUACUGUGAGGUGGUCUCUGGAAACUGCUUUUCUGACUCCAUUUCCAGAAGACUCUAUGUGCAAAAAUCUGCUUCCACGGGGAUAGGAAUGUCAUCUGGUGAAGUUGAGGGACCCCAUCUAUUUCUCACCAGAUUGUAUCCUCACCUCUAUCUGAUCUUGUUGCUGUUCACAUUUUAUGUCCCAAGAUAAAGUCCCAAUAUGAUGGAAGAGGCCUUCCUCAUGACUUGAAGCACCUACUCAUCUGGGGAAAAUUUAGGUGAAUUCAAGUGGCCCUGUGGACAGGACUAGUAGUGUCUCUCCCUGGGUUGGUCAUAUGACAAUAAAAUCCUAAGAAAGGUU
Molecule: long non-coding RNA, 1942 nt
Filed under: Homo sapiens (human)
Lineage: Eukaryota; Metazoa; Chordata; Mammalia; Primates; Hominidae
Description: HSALNT0288078
Source: RNAcentral